UUUAGUUGAAGAGAACUGGAAAGUUCCGUCGUAGAAGGUAAUAACCCUGUAGGCGAAAAGGAAAGAAAAGUAGAUCUACUCCAGAGUACCACGAGACACGUGAAACCUUGUGGGAAGCUGGGAGGACCAUCUCCCAAGGCUAAAUACUACCUAGUGACCGAUAGUGAAGCAGUACCGUGAGGGAAAGGUGAAAAGAACCCCGGAAGGGGAGUGAAAUAGAAUCUGAAACCGUGUGCCUACAAUCGGUCGGAGCACAUUAAAGUGUGACGGCGUACUUUUUGUAGAACGGGCCAGCGAGUUACGAUAUAUAGCAAGGUUAAGCACUUAUGGUGUGGAGCCGAAGGGAAACCGAGUCUGAAUAGGGCAACUAGUUGUAUAUUGUAGACCCGAAACCGGGGGACCUAUCCAUGGCCAGGAUGAAGCGGAAGUAAAAUUCCGUGGAGGUCCGAACCACGUUGGUGUUGAAAAACCAUGGGAUGAGCUGUGGAUAGCGGAGAAAUUCCAAUCGAACUCGGAGAUAGCUGGUUCUCCUCGAAAUAGCUUUAGGGCUAGCGUCGGGUAAUUGAGUAGUGGAGGUAGAGCACUGAAUGGGCUAGGGGCUGACAACAGUUACUGAACCCUAUCAAACUCCGAAUGCCAUAUACUUGUACCCCGGCAGUCAGACUACGAAUGAUAAGAUCCGUGGUCAAAAGGGAAACAGCCCAGACCAUCAGCUAAGGUCCCAAAGUGUAAGUUAAGUGGGAAAGGAUGUGGGAUUUCUAAGACAACUAGGAUGUUGGCUUAGAAGCAGCCACUCAUUUAAAGAGUGCGUAAUAGCUCACUAGUCGAGAGAUCCUGCGCCGAAGAUGUAACGGGGCUCAAACUUACCACCGAAGCUAUGGAUGUGUACUAUGUACACGUGGUAGAGGAGCUUUCUGUACAGGUUGAAGUCAUACCGUAAGGAGUGGUGGACAGUACAGAAGUGAGAAUGCUGGCAUAAGUAGCGAAAAACAAGUGAGAAUCUUGUUGACCGAAUAUCUAAGGUUUCCUGGG
RNAcentral lists this ribosomal RNA (1032 nucleotides) under Clostridium botulinum D str. 16868. RNAcentral describes it as "bacterial LSU rRNA". It matches the Rfam family "Bacterial large subunit ribosomal RNA", at positions 328 to 1359 of the family's 2925-position model. Lineage: Bacteria; Bacillati; Bacillota; Clostridia; Eubacteriales; Clostridiaceae. The record is from RNAcentral.